Molecule: ribosomal RNA, 504 nt
Filed under: uncultured bacterium
Lineage: Bacteria
Description: partial 16S ribosomal RNA
Rfam family: Bacterial small subunit ribosomal RNA
Source: RNAcentral
GACGAACGCUGGCGGCGUGCCUAAUACAUGCAAGUCGAACGCACAGUUUAUACCGUAGCUUGCUACACCAUAGACUGUGAGUUGCGAACGGGUGAGUAACGCGUAGGUAACCUGCCUGGUAGCGGGGGAUAACUAUUGGAAACGAUAGCUAAUACCGCAUAAUAUUGAUUAUUGCAUGAUAAUUAAUUGAAAGGUGCAAUUGCACCACUACCAGAUGGACCUGCGUUGUAUUAGCUAGUAGGUGAGGUAACGGCUCACCUAGGCGACGAUACAUAGCCGACCUGAGAGGGUGAUCGGCCACACUGGGACUGAGACACGGCCCAGACUCCUACGGGAGGCAGCAGUAGGGAAUCUUCGGCAAUGGACGAAAGUCUGACCGAGCAACGCCGCGUGAGUGAAGAAGGUUUUCGGAUCGUAAAGCUCUGUUGUAAGAGAAGAACGGGUGUGAGAGUGGAAAGUUCACACUGUGACGGUAUCUUACCAGAAAGGGACGGCUAACUACGU